AAAUUGAAGAGUUUGAUCAUGGCUCAGAUUGAACGCUGGCGGCAGGCCUAACACAUGCAAGUCGAACGGUAACAGGAAGCAGCUUGCUGCUUUGCUGACGAGUGGCGGACGGGUGAGUAAUGUCUGGGAAACUGCCUGAUGGAGGGGGAUAACUACUGGAAACGGUGGCUAAUACCGCAUAACGUCGCAAGACCAAAGAGGGGGACCUUCGGGCCUCUUGCCAUCAGAUGUGCCCAGAUGGGAUUAGCUUGUUGGUGAGGUAACGGCUCACCAAGGCGACGAUCCCUAGCUGGUCUGAGAGGAUGACCAGCCACACUGGAACUGAGACACGG
RNAcentral lists this ribosomal RNA (332 nucleotides) under Salmonella enterica subsp. enterica serovar Infantis. Its description in RNAcentral is "bacterial SSU rRNA". It matches the Rfam family "Bacterial small subunit ribosomal RNA", at positions 1 to 329 of the family's 1533-position model. The record is from RNAcentral. Lineage: Bacteria; Pseudomonadati; Pseudomonadota; Gammaproteobacteria; Enterobacterales; Enterobacteriaceae. RNAcentral also lists the same sequence under 14 other names.